This 253-nucleotide ribosomal RNA is filed under the name uncultured bacterium. RNAcentral describes it as "partial 16S ribosomal RNA". It matches the Rfam family "Bacterial small subunit ribosomal RNA", at positions 524 to 776 of the family's 1533-position model. The record is from RNAcentral.
UACGGAGGGACCAAGCGUUGUUCGGAUUUACUGGGCGUAAAGGGCGCGUAGGCGGUGAGGUAAGUCACUGGUGAAAUCUCUGAGCUUAACUCAGAACGGACAAGUGAUACUGCAGUACUAGAGUGCGGAAGGGGCAAUCGGAAUUCUUGGUGUAGCGGUGAAAUGCGUAGAUAUCAAGAGGAACACCUGAGGUGAAGACGGGUUGCUGGGCCGACACUGACGCUGAUGCGCGAAAGCCAGGGGAGCAAACGGG